This 995-nucleotide long non-coding RNA is filed under the name Olea europaea subsp. europaea. The record is from RNAcentral. Lineage: Eukaryota; Viridiplantae; Streptophyta; Magnoliopsida; Lamiales; Oleaceae.
GGAGAUGCAAUCACUUUUCCCAAAAACUAUAGCUGGCCGAUUAGAGAUGCACAAUCAAAACCUUUUAUCACUUAGGAUCAAGCUCAGGAAUCCACCCAAGCACUAUAUGUUUGGGCCUCAAAGAUUCUCUUACGAAUUGGCCAGUUCUCAUGUUCAAGCGAUGUUGUGCUUCAUUCUUCUCAUAGAGAAUCGAACACAAGACCUCCCCAAUUUGAUGUAGGGAGAUGCACUCACUUUCCCCAAAAAUUAUAGCUGAUAGGAGAGGCACAAUUAAACCCUAUAUCACCAAAAAUAAGGCUCAAGGAUCCACCCCAAGCACUAUUCAUUUGGGCCUUGUGUUGAAGAUUCGCUUACGAAAUAGGUCCAUCCUCAUGUUCAAGUUAUGUUCCACAUCACUUGAUGAAAAUUCUUGAAACUUUUGUGCUAUUACAAUGUGCUACACAUUUGAAUUUGCUGAAGCCGUCAAAGGUGUACUUCAUAUUCAAUAUAUGGACUGUUAGAAUGCAGAAACUUGUGUGUUGGAUCGACCAUUACAAUACGGGUCUUCAAACUGAAUAAAUAUUGACAGCGUUUUGUUUGAUUUCUGGCAGCCUUAUCCUCCUCUGUGUGACAUUAAGGGCAGCUAUGUAUCGCAGUUUGAGCAUACAAUUCUACUUCGUCCGACUUGCAAAGAAGUGGUAUCCAGAGGUGAUGAUUAUUGAUGGAAGGUUUCAGUCUUGGAUUGAUAUUUACAAAAUGAUCGUAUGUCGGAUGUUUUUACAUUAAUCAAAUCAAAACUUGCUUAAGCUCUAUCCACUGUUUUCCUUUUGUGAUUCGUACUCGAGCUGGUUUUGUAGUAGCAACGUAAGGAGGCUGAAGUCCAUAAUUUUUGUUCGAAAAUACCCGACCAAUAUUUAAGAUAUGGGAUAUUUAACAGGACAAUCUUGGCCAAGUGCUUGUUAGCAAAAUCUCCUAUUCAGUCGGCCUUUAGCAACUGCUGGUGGAUAGGGAUUGGG